AGAGCUCAAAUUUGUAAUCUGGCCCUUUCAGGGUCCGAGUUGUAAUCUCGAGAAGUGUUUUCCGCGCCGGACCGCAUACAAGUCUGUUGGAAUACAGCGUCAUAGUGGUGAGAGCCCCGUAAUUGAUGUGGAUGCCCGGUGCUUUGUGAUACACUUUCGAAGAGUCGAGUUGUUUGGGAAUGCAGCUCAAAUUGGGUGGUAAAUUCCAUCUAAAGCUAAAUAUUGGCGAGAGACCGAUAGCGAACAAGUACCGUGAGGGAAAGAUGAAAAGCACUUUGGAAAGAGAGUUAACAGUACGUGAAAUUGUUGGAAGGGAAACGCUUGAAGUCAGACUUGCUAUUCGGAAUUCAGCCGCAAGGUGUACUUUUCGAUUUGCAGGCCAGCAUCAGUUUUUGGGGGUGGAAAAGGGUGGAGAGAAGGUAGCAACCUUGGUUGUGUUAUAGCUCUUUACUGGAUUCAUCUUUGGGGACUGAGGAUCGCAGUGCGCAAUUUACUUUGCAAACCUUUCGAGGUUUUCGUACUUAGGAUGCUGGUGGAAUGGCUUUAAACGACCCGUCUUGAA
RNAcentral lists this ribosomal RNA (562 nucleotides) under Glaciozyma watsonii. RNAcentral describes it as "partial large subunit ribosomal RNA". It matches the Rfam family "Eukaryotic large subunit ribosomal RNA", at positions 104 to 658 of the family's 3401-position model. Lineage: Eukaryota; Fungi; Basidiomycota; Microbotryomycetes; Kriegeriales; Camptobasidiaceae. The record is from RNAcentral.